UCGGGAAUUUUGGGCAAUGGGCGAAAGCCUGACCCAGCAACGCCGCGUGAAGGAUGAAGUAUUUCGGUAUGUAAACUUCGAAAGAAUAGGAAGAAUAAAUGACGGUACUAUUUAUAAGGUCCGGCUAACUACGUGCCAGCAGCCGCGGUAAUACGUAGGGACCAAGCGUUGUUCGGAUUUACUGGGCGUAAAGGGCGCGUAGGCGGCAAUUCAAGUCAUCUGUGAAAUCUCCGGGCUUAACUCGGAACGGUCAGAUGAUACUGCUUUGCUAGAGUGCAGAAGGGGCAAUCGGAAUUCUUGGUGUAGCGGUGAAAUGCGUAGAUAUCAAGAGGAACACCUGAGGUGAAGACGGGUUGCUGGGCUGACGCUGACGCUGAGGCGCGAAAGCCAGGGGAGCAAACGGGAUUAGAUACCCCAGUAGUCCCUGAGCGGGCUGGCAAGGCGCAU
Molecule: ribosomal RNA, 447 nt
Filed under: uncultured bacterium
Lineage: Bacteria
Description: bacterial SSU rRNA
Rfam family: Bacterial small subunit ribosomal RNA
Source: RNAcentral